CCCAGACUCCUACGGGAGGCAGCAGUGGGGGAUAUUGCACAAUGGGGGGAACCCUGAUGCAGCGACGCCGCGUGGGUGAAGGAGCGUUUCGGCGCGUAAAGCCCUAUCGGCAGGGAAGAAGGAGGACGGUACCUGACUAAGAAGCCCCGGCUAACUACGUGCCAGCAGCCGCGGUAAUACGUAGGGGGCAAGCGUUAUCCGGAUUUACUGGGUGUAAAGGGGGCGCAGACGGCAGCGCAAGCCAGGAGUGAAAGCCCGGGGCCCAACCCCGGGACUGCUCUUGGAACUGCGCGGCUGGAGUGCAGGAGGGGCAGGCGGAAUUCCUGGUGUAGCGGUGAAAUGCGUAGAUAUCAGGAGGAACACCGGUGGCGAAGGCGGCCUGCUGGACUGCGACUGACGUUGAGGCCCGAAAGCGUGGGGAGCAAACAGGAUUAGAUACCCUCGUAGG
RNAcentral lists this ribosomal RNA (448 nucleotides) under uncultured bacterium. Its description in RNAcentral is "bacterial SSU rRNA". It matches the Rfam family "Bacterial small subunit ribosomal RNA", at positions 330 to 794 of the family's 1533-position model. The record is from RNAcentral.